Rattus norvegicus (Norway rat) is the source of this 71-nucleotide non-coding RNA. The record is from Rfam. NCBI's taxonomy places the organism in Eukaryota, Metazoa, Chordata, Mammalia, Rodentia, Muridae.
GGGGAUUUAGCUCAGUGGUAGAGCGCUUGCCUAGCAAAGGCAAGGCCCUGGGUUCGAUCCCCAAAAAACUA